GUGAGCAUGUGGUUAAUUCGAUGCAACGCGAAGAACCUUACCUACUCUUGACAUCCAGAGAAUUUGCUAGAGAUAGCUUAGUGCCUUCGGGAACUCUGAGACAGGUGCUGCAUGGCUGUCGUCAGCUCGUGUUGUGAAAUGUUGGGUUAAGUCCCGCAACGAGCGCAACCCUUAUCCUUUGUUGCCAGCGAGUAAUGUCGGGAACUCAAAGGAGACUGCCGGUGAUAAACCGGAGGAAGGUGGGAUGACGUCAAGUCAUCAUGGCCCUUACGAGUAGGGCUACACACGUGCUACAAUGGCAUAUACAAAGAGAAGCGAACUCGCGAGAGCAAGCGGACCUCAUAAAGUAUGUCGUAGUCCGGAUUGGAGUCUGCAACUCGACUCCAUGAAGUCGGAAUCGCUAGUAAUCGUAGAUCAGAAUGCUACGGUGAAUACGUUCCCGGGCCUU
RNAcentral lists this ribosomal RNA (448 nucleotides) under uncultured Enterobacteriaceae bacterium. Its description in RNAcentral is "bacterial SSU rRNA". It matches the Rfam family "Bacterial small subunit ribosomal RNA", at positions 932 to 1382 of the family's 1533-position model. The record is from RNAcentral. Lineage: Bacteria; Pseudomonadati; Pseudomonadota; Gammaproteobacteria; Enterobacterales; Enterobacteriaceae.